AGCAUCAUAACUAUUCCUUGAGAAGGCUCCUCACAUCUUGAAGUCUAUAGCUAGGGAAAAUAAAUCCAUAGUUCGAAUAUCAAUUUUUCUUUUAACCUAUUUGUAGAUGAUUUAUUGUAGUGGAAAGUCAGAUGAUGAUAAGAUAAUGCUGUUUAGAGGUCAUUAAAGAGUUUUGAGGAAGUUUCUACAAAGGUAGUGUUCUUACAUUGUCAGUACGAUAAGAAAACUAACAGUUUAUGUCAAAGUUUGCAAAAUGCGUUUGUCUGAUAAACAGUCUGCUCAGAGGACAUCARUCAUACUUCCUUCCCAGAGUAUAUUGUAUUUUUCAUGAAGUGAACUUUAGUGACUCUGCACAUUCAUGUGUUUGAUAUUGCAGUAUCUUAAACAAUGUCUUUCUGUUUGUAGUGGCUGUAAUGCAGUAUGCACCAUGGUGCCGCAUCUCCUACCAGGCACUAAUAACCAGGAGCCUUUGCUUCUGCUUGAGCCAGUAAUUACACCAACUUCUUUAGCCAGAACCAAACUAUAAAUUUAGAGCACUCCAGCGUUUCAUGGUGAUGGCAGCUACUGUGGAUUUCCAGGCUAUAAACAGAAGAAAAAGGUUUUGGCUUUUCCGUCAGUGGGCAGAAUCAGUCUCAAGUGACUGAGGAAGACCAAUCACCCACAUGGGAGGGUGCAAACUGGCCCAUCCUGAUGGGUUCGAAUGGAAGAGACCCUGAGCAAGCCAUGACACACAAAUACCUGAUGUAUUACUUCAGCAGCAAAUUCAACAAGGCCAAGAUGUCUUCAUUUUCCUUCAGAGCAAGGGCUGUAAGAGCAGUGCGAUGGAAGCCGUGGUCUUCUGUGGCCAGCCGGCAAGAACCCAUCAGCAGCUGUGAUGAGCAGAGCAGACACGGGGAGACAGGAGGCAGCUGAAGCCAAAGAGGACCCACGCCUGGAGCUGUGUGUGUGAUUGGAGCAGAGAGAGGCCAGGACCCAAGGAAAUCCCAGCAGCAAGGGAAAAAAACAGAUUGACUCUCAGUGACUCAUUUAGCUCCUGGAUUGGACAGAUCUCUCCCCUGCUGGCAAUUUGGCUGAGCAUCAAUGGACAGAUACCAGGAUGAAUAGCUUAAAAUAAUUAGGGUUUGGGAAUCUGCAAAACUGCUAGCCCUCCAAUUCUUUACUGUGCAAUGUGAGGCACAAAAAAGAAAUUACAUUUAGGUUAUUAAAUACUAAGUCACUGGAUUUACCUCCAUUUGGUCCAGAACAGGAAGCUGGAUAAAAUUCAACAUUUAUAUCAUUGUGUUGAUGGCCUGUUUAUCACCAAAGAAAUGAGAGCAUUUUGGCAGGUCAAGCUCUUUGACACAUGGGGCAAAUGUGUGCUUAAUUUCUCCCAAACAGAAGAAUUAAUAUAAUAAUAAUUAACAUAGAUGAGAACAGAAUUAAAAUCAAGUACAGUCAAGAGUUCAGUUUAGUGCCAGAAGUCUUAAAUUUUAUAUGUUCUGAGACCAGAUUUUUUUCCUGUUGAAGAUAGCGAGGAUUUUGCCAUUGACGCAAAUGGGAGCAGGAGUAGGCCUUGAAUGUAGAGACAGGAUUCCCUGUACUUUCUAUUUAAUGCGAAAAAACAGAAGCAACAGGCUCAUUUAGUAUCAGUAAAGGUCAGUUAAAAUUAUAGAGACAUCCUUUGGAGCAAAUCCUCUGCCUUGUAUUUGCAUAUUUAUGAACUAGAGAUUACGACAGGCCAUUCCAUUUAUUAGAGCAGCGUCGCUAUAGUUAAUAGUCUGUCAGUAUUUCCAUUAUAAACCCCGUUUUUCAGUGUUUUAAUAUCUCAGCCAUUUAAAAUCACAUCAGGAAGCAAGUUGGCCCUCGUGUUGUCAGGCCAGGUGAAAUUUUUUGUUUUGGAUUAUUUUCAGUGCUGCUAAUA
Dromaius novaehollandiae (emu) is the source of this 1900-nucleotide long non-coding RNA. NCBI's taxonomy places the organism in Eukaryota, Metazoa, Chordata, Aves, Casuariiformes, Dromaiidae. The record is from Ensembl.